AUCUCUGUCCCUGACUGCCCUCUCUUGGCCACACAGCUUCCUCAGCUCACCGAUCUUGUUCCUGAGCAGUGCAGUGGAGAGGCUGCAAAGUGUGCUGAUGAAGACAGACAGGUGAAGAAGAAGAAGAAGAAGAAGAAGGGAAUCCGUGCAUUCUUCAGAGGGCUUUGGAAGAGGAUGAUUUGUUCCUCUGGAAUCCCCAAAGAGGACUGAGGC
Long non-coding RNA from Osmerus eperlanus (European smelt), 213 nucleotides. RefSeq lists it as uncharacterized. The transcript is spliced from 3 exons. The record is from RefSeq and is a predicted model, not a curated record. Lineage: Eukaryota; Metazoa; Chordata; Actinopteri; Osmeriformes; Osmeridae.